CAUAGGUCUCAUAGUAGCGCCUUCUGUCCAAGAAAGCAGAGGGAUGGUUAAGAGAAAGCAUUUUAGUUAGGAAGAAGAUAGGGAGAAGGAAAGAACACAGAGAAAGGGGUGGGGAAAGAGUGACAUAUAUAUCAUACAGUAUAUGAAACAUAUACAGCAUUCUCAUAUAUAUGCAUGAGGAGAAGAGGGUAUGAUGCCAGGCGACAGCUCCAGUUUUGGAUGACAAUUCCAUUUUCUAUCCUUAGGAUAAGAACCAUUCCUCAUGUGUAAAGAGGCAGCCAUGAAAUUGUCCUCCAAACUUUGUGGACACUAAAGAGAAAAAACCAAGUCCAGCACUGCAGCAGCUGACUGAACAGAGGACAGAAAAUCAGGAAAUGAGGGUGCGGUUGGUCAUUUAUGAAAUUAAGUGUCAGAAUGAAUGCAGGCUGGUGAUUCAUUACAGAAUGGAGGGUUUACAGUCAAGGUUUGUGAAAGGACUGAUAAGAAUCUGCUUAUGAGUAAGACUUUUCAGAAAAUAAUGUCCUCAAGUUGUCUGGUUGCAGCAAUCCCUCAGUGCAGAGAAGUUUUCCUUCUUUUUAAAAAAUUUCCUCAGAUAUUCACUGCCAUAUAAUUCAAGAUAUAUGCAUGAAAUGAGCGUGUCUGAGGUGAAAAGUGGAACAAGUCAAAAUCCUAAGUACACAAAUAUUACUCAUCUGACUGAAUGCUUUGAAAUAAAACUAAAGGAUUUUUAAAGGAGACAUAUUAUGGAGAUAGGCUUUGGUCAAAUCAUUACAUCAAUCACAGCUCCCUUAUUAACCUCUAUGUUUACACCUCUGUUUAUGGCUUCCAAAAUACUUAAUCAAAUUGCCUGACCAUGCAAAUGUAAUUUUAGAAACAAACUGCGCUUAAGACAACACUAAAUGACAUUAUUACAGUACAAUAGGAACACUGAAGUCAAUGGAACAA
This is a long non-coding RNA of Melanotaenia boesemani (Boeseman's rainbowfish), 945 nucleotides long. RefSeq lists it as uncharacterized. The record is from RefSeq and is a predicted model, not a curated record. Lineage: Eukaryota; Metazoa; Chordata; Actinopteri; Atheriniformes; Melanotaeniidae. The transcript is spliced from 3 exons.